Long non-coding RNA from Oncorhynchus keta (chum salmon), 2260 nucleotides. RefSeq lists it as uncharacterized. The record is from RefSeq and is a predicted model, not a curated record. The transcript has 8 exons. Lineage: Eukaryota; Metazoa; Chordata; Actinopteri; Salmoniformes; Salmonidae.
GCUGAAAGGACACGCAGUCAAAUCAGUCUGAGACAUUGGAUAGCUCUGGGUUGGAGGCCUUUCACUCUGUGGUACUGCUCUCUGUAUGUAUAUAGUAGGUUAAUAUAGAAGUUGGAGGCCUUUCACUCUGUGGUACUGCUCUCUGUAUGUAUAUAGUAGGUUAAUAUAGAAGUUGGAGACCUUUCACUCUGUGGUACUGCUCUCUGUAUGUAUAUAGUAGGUUAAUAUAGAAGUUGGAGACCUUUCACUCUGUGGUACUGCUCUCUGUAUGUAUAUAGUAGGUUAAUAUAGAAGUUGGAGACCUUUCACUCUGUGGUACUGCUCUCUGUAUGUAUAUAGUAGGUUAAUAUAGAAGUUGGAGACCUUUCACUCUGUGGUACUGCUCUCUGUAUGUAUAUAGUAGGUUAAUAUAGAAGUUGGAGACCUUUCACUCUGUGGUACUGCUCUCUGUAUGUAUAUAGUAGGUUAAUAUAGAAGUUGGAGACCUUUCACUCUGUGGUACUGCUCUCUGUAUGUAUAUAGUAGGUUAAUAUAGAAGUUGGAGGCCUUUCACUCUGUGGUACUGCUCUCUGUAUGUAUAUAGUAGGUUAAUAUAGAAGUUGGAGACCUUUCACUCUGUGGUACUGCUCUCUGUAUGUAUAUAGUAGGUUAAGACGUUGGAGACCUUUCACUCUGUGGUACUGCUCUCUGUAUGUAUAUAGUAGGUCAAGACGUUGGAGACCUUUCACUCUGUGGUACUGCUCUGUGUAUGUAUAUAGUAGGUUAAUAUAGAAGUUGGAGACCUUUCACUCUGUGGUACUGCUCUGUGUAUGUAUAUAGUAGGUUAAUAUAGAAGUUGGAGACCUUUCACUCUGUGGUACUGCUCUCUGUAUGUAUAUAGUAGGUUAAUAUAGAAGUUGGAGACCUUUCACUCUGUGAUACUGCUCUCUGUAUGUAUAUAGUAGGUUAAUAUAGAAGUUGGAGACCUUUCACUCUGUGAUACUGCUCUCUGUAUGUAUAUAGUAGGUUAAUAUAGAAGUUGGAGGCCUUUCACUCUGUGGUACUGCUCUCUGUAUGUAUAUAGUAGGUUAAUAUAGAAGUUGGAGACCUUUCACUCUGUGGUACUGCUCUCUGUAUGUAUAUAGUAGGUUAAUAUAGAAGUUGGAGGCCUUUCACUCUGUGGUACUGCUCUCUGUAUGUAUAUAGUAGGUUAAUAUAGAAGUUGGAGACCUUUCACUCUGUGGUACUGCUCUCUGUAUGUAUAUAGUAGGUUAAUAUAGAAGUUGGAGACCUUUCACUCUGUGGUACUGCUCUCUGUAUGUAUAUAGUAGGUUAAUAUAGAAGUUGGAGGCCUUUCACUCUGUGGUACUGCUCUCUGUAUGUAUAUAGUAGGUUAAUAUAGAAGUUGGAGACCUUUCACUCUGUGGUACUGCUCUCUGUAUGUAUAUAGUAGGUUAAUAUAGAAGUUGGAGACCUUUCACUCUGUGGUACUGCUCUCUGUAUGUAUAUAGUAGGUUAAUAUAGAAGUUGGAGGCCUUUCACUCUGUGGUACUGCUCUCUGUAUGUAUAUAGUAGGUUAAUAUAGAAGUUGGAGACCUUUCACUCUGUGGUACUGCUCUCUGUAUGUAUAUAGUAGGUUAAUAUAGAAGUUGGAGACCUUUCACUCUGUGGUACUGCUCUCUGUAUGUAUAUAGUAGGUUAAUAUAGAAGUUGGAGGCCUUUCACUCUGUGGUACUGCUCUCUGUAUGUAUAUAGUAGGUUAAUAUAGAAGUUGGAGACCUUUCACUCUGUGGUACUGCUCUCUGUAUGUAUAUAGUAGGUUAAUAUAGAAGUUGGAGGCCUUUCACUCUGUGGUACUGCUCUCUGUAUGUAUAUAGUAGGUUAAUAUAGAAGUUGGAGACCUUUCACUCUGUGGUACUGCUCUCUGUAUGUAUAUAGUAGGUUAAUAUAGAAGUUGGAGGCCUUUCACUCUGGUACUGCUCUCUGUAUGUAUAUAGUAGGUUAAUAUAGAAGUUGGAGACCUUUCACUCUGUGGUACUGCUCUCUGUAUGUAUAUAGUAGGUUAAUAUAGAAGUUGGAGACCUUUCACUCUGUGGUACUGCUCUCUGUAUGUAUAUAGUAGGUUAAUAUAGAAGUUGGAGACCUUUCACUCUGUGGUACUGCUCUCAGGUUAAUAUAGAAGUUGGAGGCCUUUCACUCUGUGAUACUGCUCUCUGUAUGUAUAUAGUAGGUUAAUAUAGAAGUUGGAGACCUUUCACUCUGUGGUACUGCUCUCUGUAUG